UUAGAAUUAAGUGCAAGUGGUAGGAGAGCGUUCUAUUCAGCGUUGAAGGUAUACCGGUAAGGAGUGCUGGAGCGGAUAGAAGUGAGCAUGCAGGCAUGAGUAGCGAUAAUUGAUGUGAGAAUCAUCAACGCCGAAAACCCAAGGUUUCCUACGCGAUGCUCGUCAUCGUAGGGUUAGUCGGGUCCUAAGCAAAGUCCGAAAGGGGUAUGCGAUGGAAAAUUGGUUAAUAUUCCAAUACCAAUUAUUAUGUGCGAUGGAAGGACGCUUAAAGUUAGUGGAGCUAGCGGAUGGAAGUGCUAGUCUAAGGGUGUAGGUUGAGUUAUAGGCAAAUCCGUAACUCUUUAUCCGAGACCUAAAAGGCUCAUGACGCUCUUCGGAGUAGAUUGAGAAUCCAUGAUACUAUCGAGCCAAGAAAAGUUUCUAAGUUUAGUAAUAAUUGCCCGUACCGUAAACCGACACAGGUGGGUGGGAUGAGUAUUCUAAGGCGCGUGGAAGAACUCUCUUUAAGGAACUCUGCAAAAUAGCACCGUAUCUUCGGUAUAAGGUGUGCCUAACUUUGUAUUAAGAUUCACUCCCAAAGCAAAGAAGGUUACAACAAAGAGUCCCUCCCGACUGUUUACCAUAAACACAGCACUCUGCUAACACGUAAGUGGAUGUAUAGGGUGUGACGCCUGCCCGGUGCUCGAAGGUUAAUUGAUGAUGUUAGCUAUGCGAAGCAUUUGAUCGAAGCCCGAGUAAACGGCGGCCGUAACUAUAACGGUCCUAAGGUAGCGAAAUUCCUUGUCGGUUAAAUACCGACCUGCAUGAAUGGCGUAACGAGAUGGGAGCUGUCUCAAAGAGGGAUCCAGUGAAAUUGUAGUGGAGGUGAAAAUUCCUCCUACCCGCGGCAAGACGGAAAGACCCCGUGGACCUUUACUACAGCUUGACACUGCUAUUUGGAUAAAGAUGCGCAGGAUAGGUGGGAGCUUUGAUCCAUAGACCUGGUUUAUGGUGAGCCAUUGUUGAGAUACCACUCUUCUUUAUUCGAGUAGCUAACUAGCCUAAGUUAUCCUUAGGUAGGACAAUGUCUGGUGGGUAGUUUGACUGGGGCGGUCGCCUCCCAAAAUGUAACGGAGGCUUACAAAGGUUGGCUCAGAACGGUUGGAAAUCGUUCGUAGAGUAUAAAGCAUAAGCCAGCUUAACUGCAAGACAUACACGUCAAGCAGAGACGAAAGUCGGUCUUAGUGAUCCGGUGGUUCUGUGUGGAAGGGCCAUCGCUCAAAGGAUAAAAGGUACCCCGGGGAUAACAGGCUGAUCUCCCCCAAGAGCUCACAUCGACGGGGAGGUUUGGCACCUCGAUGUCGGCUCAUCGCAUCCUGGGGCUGGAGCAGGUCCCAAGGGUAUGGCUGUUCGCCAUUUAAAGCGGUACGCGAGCUGGGUUCAGAACGUCGUGAGACAGUUCGGUCCCUAUCUGCCGUGGGCGUAAGAAGAUUGAGGAGAGUUGACCCUAGUACGAGAGGACCGGGUCGAACUAGCACUGGUGUACCAGUUGUUCUGCCAAGAGCAUCGCUGGGUAGCUAAGCUAGGAUGAGAUAAGAGCUGAAAGCAUCUAAGCUCGAAGCCAACUCCAAGAUGAAUCUUCUUUUAAGAGCUCUAGUAGACUACUAGUUUGAUAGGCUGGGUGUGUAAUGGAUGAAAGUCCUUUAGCUGACCAGUACUAAUAGCUCGUUUGCUUAUCUUUAUAUAAGCAUCACUUC
Molecule: ribosomal RNA, 1736 nt
Filed under: Campylobacter fetus
Lineage: Bacteria; Pseudomonadati; Campylobacterota; Epsilonproteobacteria; Campylobacterales; Campylobacteraceae
Description: bacterial LSU rRNA
Rfam family: Bacterial large subunit ribosomal RNA
Source: RNAcentral